UUACCAUGCAAGUCGAACGGUGAAGAGGAGCUUGCUCCUUGGAUCAGUGGCGAACGGGUGAGUAACACGUGAGCAAUCUGCCCUUGACUCUGGGAUAACUGCGGGAAACUGUACCUAAUACCGGAUAUUACCUUGGAAGGCAUCUUCUGGGGUGGAAAGAAUUUUGGUCAAGGAUGAGCUCGCGGCCUAUCAGCUAGUUGGUGAGGUAAUGGCUCACCAAGGCGACAACGGGUAGCCGGCCUGAGAGGGUGACCGGCCACACUGGGACUGAGACACGGCCCAGACUCCUACGGGAGGCAGCAGUGGGGAAUAUUGCACAAUGGGCGCAAGCCUGAUGCAUCAACGCCGCGUGAGGGACGACGGCCUUCGGGUUGUAAACCUCUUUUAGUAGGGGAGAAGCGACUGGGUUUUCCUGGGAGUGACGGUACCUGCAGAAAAAGCACCGGCUAACUACGUGCCAGCAGCCGCGGUAAUACGUAGGGUGCAAGCGUUGUCCGGAAUUAUUGGGCGUAAAGAGCUCGUAGGCGGUUUGUCCCGUCUGCUGUGAAAACCCGAGGCUCAACCUCGGGGCCUGCAGUGGGUACGGGCAGACUAGAGUGG
This 600-nucleotide ribosomal RNA is filed under the name uncultured bacterium. RNAcentral's name for it is "bacterial SSU rRNA". It matches the Rfam family "Bacterial small subunit ribosomal RNA", at positions 49 to 649 of the family's 1533-position model. The record is from RNAcentral.